GCGCGUCCCGGCGGGGCUGAGGCAGCGCCCCGCGGGGAGUGCGCCCUCUGGCGAACGGGCGGAGGCACGGCCUGGCCUCAGGCAGGGUUCGAGCCCCCCAGAGGCUCCUCGCAGCUCCCGGCUGCUCCUCGACCCUUCCAGCGCCUCCCCGGUGGCCCAGCCCUGCAGCCUGGGAGCUCCUCCCUCGCCGAGCAGGAGGGUUGUGGAUGCAGAGCUGCCAGACCCCUGCAGCAAGGCGGAGGGCUCUCCCGUCCGAGCCCUGCGCCCUCCAGGGCACUGCUGAUCGCCACCAACGCCGUGUCCUACAGCCUGCUGCGGCAUCCCGCGGCACGUCCCUGCCGGCUGACCUCCGCCUCAGGCUCCCAGCGGCCGGAGCCCCCGGUGAAUGGGCCCUUCCUUCCCUCGGGCGCUGGGCGAGCAGGAGCCACCCUGCACCAGCCGAGCGUCACGGCCCUGACCACGCGGCCUGGCCUGGCCUGGCCGGUCGGGGCACUGGGCAGAGCUGCUCUGCUGCACCCAAGCCCUUCCCAACAAACCCAGAGAGGGUUUUCAACAGCUGCUUGCAGGUUCCAUCGCUGGGGCUGUUGCAGCCUGGCAGCAACAUCUUGGCUUCUGCCUGUGCUUGGGUCUUCCCACUGGAAGGAAAAUCAGCCAGGCAUCUUAGACAGCAGUGCCCAACAAGGGGAGCACCAGGAGGGCUAAGAAGCAGCCUUCACACCUCUCUGGACUUUCUUCAGCCUCUUCAACCCUCUUAGCAGGGAAUGUUUGCUCUAUGUUGGUCCAUGAGCCACCUCCAGAUGUAGCAAGGAGCAGUGGAGUUUGCUGUGGCCUCUCCUGCUGAGGUUUCACAUCCAUUUCCCUGCAUCCCAACCCCCUUCACUGGGGUUGGUUUUUUCUGUUUUGUUUCCAGAGGGAGCCCAGCCACUGCUUUUCACCAAUGUGCUCAUUUAUGAACAGCAGUGUGAAAUACUGCAGUACUUCAAUACUUGCCUUUCUCCAGCAGCUUCCUUCUGGAAGAAAAUACUGCAGUUUGGUUACGUGUCUCGCCUGGAGCCACGCAGUGAAUCACUGGCAAGAAGAGGAACAGAACUCAAAAGCCCUGCAGCUGCCAGCUCUGGUCAUCAGACACCUCUCCUUCCUCCAGCCUUUAAGUUCUUUAAAUCUGCACACAUUUAGUACAUAACGCAUACGUUUCUCCAUUACAACAGCCAACACUAAAAUUUGGGUCUCAUUUAACAGCUCCAUGCCUUCACUCUGAGCCAGUACAUUGGGGAGAGGUGAGACAGGUAAAAUGUGCUCUCCAGCAGGGCCCUGUGUGUCAGGGUAUGGCAGGGAUUGGUCUCAGCAGAUUUGUUUGAGCCCUAACAUCUCUAACAGGGGAUGCAGAUCAGCCCAUUCUCAUUUGAAUGCUAAGUGGCAGUCAGAAGUGGAGGUGGGUUGUGAGCAGAAGCAGAUGUGGGCGAGAUGCCCCACCUCUCAAAUUCCAGCCAACAUUUCUCCAUCUUCUGUGGCCUCUCUGUGGAGGGACUCCAGCUUCAUCCCAGCAUUAGCAGGCAGAAAUGAUGCUCAAUAGGGCAGUGACCUCAUCUCACUCCUGCAAUACUCCACAUUGUCUCAGCAGGAUACCUGUGCUGGAAUAUUCAGCUCAGCCUUGGCUUUCCAGUUCUGCUUACACCUGCUGGACCCUCCAUCCUCUGCUCUGGACAAGAUACUUCAUUGUCCCUCCUCUCUCAGUUGCCUUCACCUGCUGGACAAGGUGAGCUGAGCUUUGCAAAGGUCACUUCAGGUGUGCAGUAAGCAAAUAGAUGUGAUAAGGACACUGAUCACCUUGGGAACACGGCAAAACACAAAGGGCUCUGACUAACUCUGCAUGGAAAUACCCUCCCUAGAGGGGCAGGCAAGAGGCCAGAACAGAUCACACAGCCCUGAGGAAUUUCCAUCAGCACAGACACAGAUGGGCCUCACUCCCAAGUCCCUCCUGGAGGCCCAUAACAGCAACUCUGCAUUACUGUUGAUGAACCAAGACUGGCACUUUGUUCCUUGCAGCCAAAGGAGACCAUUGGUUGUGGGAAAAACUGGAAGGAAGGCAGCACAGGCAUGUGGAAAUGCUCACCUGGUAGGUCCUCUUCAGAGGAGAGACACUUGAGAGGGCAGGGACUGUGCUGGCAGAGGGCAGGACUGGGCUGUGUGGACAGAGUGAUGGCACAAAGGGCUGUUUGGGUGCUGCUUGGUCCUGUGUGCCAGGACCAGGGCGUGGCUCACUCAGUAAGGUUUUGGCCACUGGCCUCCCUAAACACAGGGUUAGUGGUGCUGGAAGCAGGAAGCUCCCUGGGAAUCCUUCACAAAGGCUGCACGAGACAGGACAGGUUUACCCCUCUGCAUAACGGAUUCCACUUCUAAGCACCCAGUACUCACACAUAAACUUUUAAUAUUUGCCAGUGUGGAGCUUCUUGUACGAUCCAUCCAUUUCUAAAAGAUCAUUCCUUUGUUGAAAUGCAGCUGCUGUUGAUGGGAAAACUUCAGGGUGAGACCAGGAAGGGCUCACAUACAGCCUGGCAUCCCAUAAGGGCCAGGCCUAUGAAAGACAAACAGCAUGAAGAGCUCAGCAGCCCUUGACCUUUUGGUGCCUCUGCUAGAACAAAAGAGGAGAUGCACUGAAGGAUUAACUGUUGGUCCAUUGGGCUGCCCUCAGAUUUACAUUCAUUUCCCACUGCAGGACAGGAGUGUUUUUUUCUCAUGACAGGAAUAAAAAUUUCAGUGUUACAGAGUUUGUUUUUCAGACAAACUUAAAAGUGUUAAGAAAUAUGCAAAUUAUUCUUACGGCUAACUGUUUAUUUAGGUCACAAAUGCUAAACAGCAAACUAUUUCCCCCCAGCAUCUAUUAGCAAAAAUGGUCUCGUAAUGAAAUGCAGUUUUUAAGGUAUGAAGGAAUUUUUCAGACAGACACAUAAUCUUUCCUACCUCCUGCCUUUGGAAACCAGAAGGGUCAAGUUUAGAUUCUCACCUUGUGUUCAGAUCCCAGUCCUGAACCACACAAACUUGGGUGUUGUAGGAUCCAGUGGCUAAAACAAAACUAGCCACCAAACCAAACAGAAUGGAUGGCAUUGACAGGCAAAACACUCAGUAAUGCCAUGUCACAGAGUGGCAGGACAAGUAAUUCUGUCAUGGGGAAUUUCCAUGGAUACUACAAGCAAACUUCCAUAAAGUUAUGGAAGAAAAACAUCUGUAGGUUGUAGCCUAUGAGCUCCUCUUUUUGCUAUCAAAGCCCUAAAUAGCAGAUUGGAAUUCUGCAGCUCUGAUCAUCAUCUAUUUAGCAAGAUACUGAGGUGGUUUUUAUUUAACAAAUUGCAAUGGGGCUUUCAUCUCUUCCUUUCAGAUGUCACAUCACCUCUGGUAGCUACUGUGAAUGAGAAGGAGUCAUUCAGACUCCUGUCCCCAAGGCCAGCAACCACCUUUGUACAUUGCUUUGAUUUUCUGUGAAUAAAAGAUCACUUACAAGCCUGAA
This is a long non-coding RNA of Haemorhous mexicanus (house finch), 3505 nucleotides long. RefSeq lists it as uncharacterized. NCBI's taxonomy places the organism in Eukaryota, Metazoa, Chordata, Aves, Passeriformes, Fringillidae. The transcript has 2 exons. The record is from RefSeq and is a predicted model, not a curated record.